Molecule: ribosomal RNA, 253 nt
Filed under: uncultured bacterium
Lineage: Bacteria
Description: partial 16S ribosomal RNA
Rfam family: Bacterial small subunit ribosomal RNA
Source: RNAcentral
UACGUAGGGACCAAGCGUUGUUCGGAUUUACUGGGCGUAAAGGGCGCGUAGGCGGCGUGGUAAGUCACUUGUGAAAUCUCUGAGCUUAACUCAGAACGGCCAAGUGAUACUGCUGUGCUAGAGUGCAGAAGGGGCAAUCGGAAUUCUUGGUGUAGCGGCGAAAUGCGUAGAUAUCAAGAGGAACACCUGAGGUGAAGACGGGUUGCUGGGCUGACACUGACGCUGAGGCGCGAAAGCCAGGGGAGCAAACGGG